GUCUUUUUGAGUUUAAUUUAAAGUCUAAUCUGCCCACUGAUAAAUAUUUAAGGGCCGCAGUAUUCUGACUGUGCAAAGGUAGCAUAAUCAUUAGUCUUUUAAUUGAGGGCUUGUAUGAAUGAUUGGACGAGAUAUAAGCUGUCUCAUAAAAAUUUAAGUAGAAUUUUAUUUUUUAGUCAAAAAGCUAAAAUAAAUUUAAAAGACGAGAAGACCCUAUAGAUCUUUAUAAUUUACUUUUAAAUUUUUUUAGGUUAUUUUUUAAAUUUAUAAGUUAGAUUAUUUUGUUGGGGUGACAAUGAAAUUUAAUAAACUUUCAUUAUUUUGAAACAUUAAUUUAUGAUUAAUUGAUCCACUAUUAGUGAUUAAAAAUUUAAGUUACCUUAGGGAUAACAGCGUAAUUAUUUUGGAGAGUUCUUAUCGAUAAAAUAGUUUGCGACCUCGAUGUUGGAUUAAGAUUAAUUCUGGGUGUAGCAGUUCAGUUUAUUAAGUCUGUUCGACUUUUAAUUUCUU
This 510-nucleotide ribosomal RNA is filed under the name Dolichopus clavipes. RNAcentral describes it as "partial 16S ribosomal RNA". It matches the Rfam family "Bacterial large subunit ribosomal RNA", at positions 1829 to 2597 of the family's 2925-position model. The record is from RNAcentral. Lineage: Eukaryota; Metazoa; Arthropoda; Insecta; Diptera; Dolichopodidae.